Molecule: long non-coding RNA, 2612 nt
Organism: Parus major (Great Tit)
Lineage: Eukaryota; Metazoa; Chordata; Aves; Passeriformes; Paridae
Source: Ensembl
GGCACUUGGCUUUGCUGGUGGCAGGGCUUGCAGGGGGAAUCUGCUGCUAGCCUCUCCUGGCUCUUUUCUGGUUUUUGCUCAGGGGAUGGCUGUUCAUCCUGGGUGCAGUUUGGAGCUGCCCAAUAAUGGCAGCAUCACUCUGUUCCCAAGGCCGCCUUCCCGAUGGGCUGGCUUGAGGCGUGGGUGGCUUUGUGGUGCAGCACGUGUCCGUGCCCUGCCCGGUGCCCUGGCACUGCUGGGGCGGUGUCGAUGGCCCCUCGGGCUCUGGGCACUGCCAGGACUCCUGGUGGACAUCAGUUCCUGCAGCCAGCAGGGCUCACCCGCCUCUGGAUGGACGUGGCUUGGAUGCCAAGAGGAAAACGUGAGCUGGUUUCAAGUUCAGUUCCUGAAUGCAGUAAUCCACAGCAAGGCUUGGGGGCUCAGAGCCCCUCCUGGGCUGUCUGGGGUCUCUGGCUGCUUUGGUGGGUCCCAUGAGGAUGUUCAGGCGUCUCUUCCCUUGCCAGCAGCCCUGUCCCAGUGUAGAGCAGAGAGUGCUGAAAGCUCAGAGCUGUUCAGAGCUGGGCUGGCAGUGGAGCCAAGAAGAAGGCAGAGGAUGGAAUGCACAAUGGCUGACCCACACCUGGUGAGGCAGGAGCAGCAGAGGCUGCAGAGGCAGCUGGCAGCGGUGGCGGCGCGGCAGCAGCUGGCCCUGAGCCGGAACCGGGCGCUGCGCCGCCAGUUCCUGCGGCUGGAGGCUGACAUGGAAACCACGGGCUGGCGCAGCAUCCGCGAGAUGGAAUGGUACGGAAGGGAAAUCCGAAGGCUGUUAUCCCUCCGAGAGGGCAGCUCGUCAGCAGGAGGUGAUGAGGAGGAAGGGGCCAGCGAGCAGGUGCUGCAGGCUGGAGGACAGGCAGGAACUGGCACCAGUACAGCCGUGCCAGGAGAACUGGGCCAUGCAGCAGCAGAACUGGGCCGUCCAGCAGCAGAACUGGGCCGUCCAGCAGCAGAACUGGGCCAUGCAGCAGCAGAACUGGGCUGUCCAGGAACAGCUGCCUCAGCCACAGGAGGUUUGGGCUCGCAGCAGGAGCCCCUUCUGCGCUCCCCGUCCCCAGAGUUGCUCAGUCCCGACACCGGGAGCACUGCUGGAGAGAGUGAGGAGGAGCAUGGGGACCUGGCCACCAGUGAGGAAGGCUCUGAGCAGCUCACCUCAGCUUCCUCAGGUGCCAAAGCAGCCCCCCUGAGGCCGGGCCAGCGGCAGGGAAGCGUUCCAGGGGUAGAGCCCAGCCUGAGCAGCUGGUGGGCUCACAGGGAGGGGAGCAGAGCCGAGCUCCCACUCCCAGCCGCUGCUGAGCAGGAGACCAGGCCGAGCAUCCCCGGCACACGGCAGGAGCAGGGCAGGGAUGCCCGGGCUCCAGAGGGCUCCCUGCUGCCCCCAGCCAGCCCUCCCACGGCCCAGGAGGAGCCCUUGGACAGCUCAGCACCACACAGGUACCAUCUCCCUGUUUCCUGGCUCAGCUGGGCUGCUCGGUUCCCAAAGCUCUCACCGAGUUCUCCUCCAUCCUUGAGUACCUUGGACCCGUGCUGGGCCCUCAGGGCCUUGGGGCACCUGGCUGGGGGCACAGCUGGCAAGUGAAGGAUUUGUUGCUCAAGUGCAGAUGAUGUUCUCUAAGUGUACACAAAUCUUACUCCAGUCUCUCUGCGUGGUCAAACUUCCAGGGGUUGUUGAACUGUCUGAGGAUUUUGUUCGGAAACAGAGUAAGAGAGGACGAGGAGAGUGCGCUGCAGACACGGGGGCUGUCCUCUGCUGCCGUGUGUCAGCAGCAGGAUUCUGUGGCCAGCAGGGUAGAGCAGGCUGUAAAUCCAUCCCGGCAGGAUUUUCAGCCCCGCAACGCCCUCAUGAGACGGGGAAGUGCAUCCGUGUGCCGGCAGGGAGAUGGUCCCCGGAGGUCUCCGGGAGGGCUGCAGGGGGACAUGGCGCGAAGGGAACAGCGCUCCUGCCCCUGGAGAAGAAGCGCUCCUGCAGGAGCAGCCUCUGCUGCCACAGGAGUUCUCUCCUGCCAGGGGCUGGGCUGUGUGCAGUGUUCCAGCCUGCUGCUGCUGUCCAUUCCCGGCCUGGAGCGCGGCUUUGGCUGCUGACACCUGCCCAGAAACGGGGGGCCACCGCAGGCACCCCUCUAACUUUAUCCUCUGCCAUUUGCAUGGGGCUGUCGCUCGCUAUGGAAACAUCAUCUGAUUUACAUGUAAAUAGCUUUCCCCGCCGUGCUCCCUUUGUAUCCCACCUGUUAAUCACAGCAGAGCAGGGGAGAGCCCUCUCUGCAGUUUAACCUUGUGUUCCCUCCCGGCGAGGCCUCGCUGUGCAGCGCCUGACGAGCGGCUCUCGAGGCCCCUGGAAAUCACACACGAGGUUUGAGCGCCUGCAUUGUCCCCGGGGCACGGCCGGGCCCGGCACACGGCUCUCCUCCCGCUGUGCCAGGCUCAGUGCCUCCGCUUCUCAAGGCCACGCUGCGCAAAACGUGCAGCUUUUAAUUUAAUCGGCUGGACCUGAAAAGCAAAGGGCAGGAACGCAGGAGCGGCCCUUCCCUUGCCGUGCUCACAGCCAGCUGGGCUUCCCAAGGCACCUGGAAUGCAGCGUG